Molecule: long non-coding RNA, 1997 nt
Filed under: Camarhynchus parvulus
Lineage: Eukaryota; Metazoa; Chordata; Aves; Passeriformes; Thraupidae
Description: lncRNA (ENSCPVG00000017476.1)
Source: RNAcentral
UUGGGGCAAAUUCGGGAAAUUUCGGAGAAUUUGGGGCGGAUUUUCAGGUCCAGGGGGGAAAAUGGGGACAGAUUUGGAGAUCUGGGGGCAAACCUGGGGAAGCUCGGGGCUGAUUUGGGGGUGGGGGCAGAUUUGAGGUGUUUCAGGACAGAUCUGGGGGUCCCAGGCUCCCAUCCUCCACCCCUUCCACGUGAAAAUCGCAAUAAUUUCCGAUUUCACCCAAAUCCGUUCCCAGCCUGGGGCAGCCUCACUCCCCCGCCCCCUCCCCGAGCUCGGAGCUUUGCGUGUAAAAAACCCAAUUUUUGCGCAAUGGCUGAAAAGUUCCAUUUCCUGGGGCCGGCCGGCGCUUCCUUCCCGCGCCCGCGCCCCGGCCCGGCUGCCCCGGCCGCUCCCGGCUGAUUCCUCCGUCCCGGGGAGCUCCCGGAGCGGGAGGAGGAUGAAGAUGAGGAUGAGGAUGAGGAUGAGGAUGAGGAUGGGGCUCCUUCUCCUCGUGGCUGCGGCCUCGUGCUUGAGCCAGACUGGGCACGAGCCCGGCGAGGAUUCCCGGGGUUCCCGCCGCCGUUCCGGUACCGCCGCCGCCCCGCGCCUCCUCCCGGCGCCGCUGCUGCUCCGGCUGCCCCCGGAGCCGGGCCCGCCCCGGAUCCGCUGCCUGGCCCCGCGGCGCUUCGCCGGCAGCACCUUCGAGCUGCUGCGGGGGCUCCCGGCGGCGCCGCUGCGGAGCCUCCCGGCCGCUCCCGAGCGCCACUGGGCCGAGUUCGCCCUGCCCGGGGCCGCCGGCUGCUUCCGCUGCCGGUACCGGAGCCACAACGGCAGCGCCUGGCUGGAGUCGGAGCUGAGCCCCGGCACCGGCGGCUCCGGUGCGUGCGGGGAACCCCGGGGGCAUCCCCGUCCCGCAUCCCGGGGCCGGCCCGGAACCGAUUUCGGGGUUUUUCUCCCCAGAUUUGGGCGAUGCCGAGUGUCAGCCGAGCACGGGCACCGGCACCACCGCGGCACCCGCAGCCACGGCCGGGACCCCGCGGAACGGCACCGGGACCCCGCGGAACGGCACCGGGACCCCGCGGAACGGCACCGAUCCUCCCUGGGUCCUCCCGGUCUCGGUCGGUGUCGCCUUCCCGGGGCUGCUGCUGCUGCUGGGGGCUGCGACCGCGGCCGGGCGAGGUGGGAGGGGGCUCGGAACCGGGAAUUCGGGGGGGGUUCAGAACCGGGAAUUCGGGGGGGGUUCAGAACCGGGAAUUCGGGGGCUGCGAACCGGAAUUCGGGGGUUCAGAACCGGGAAUUCGGGGGGGGCUCGGAACCGGGAAUUCGGGGGGGGUUCAGAACCGGGAAUUCGGGGGGCUCAGCGCCCAGGGACCCCACUCCACUCUGCUGGGCCACCCCGGUGCCACCGGUUCUGUCCUCACAGGCGUCCGGCGGCGGCGCGCACAGAGCCCCACGGUGCCGGCCCCGGUAAGGCCGGACCCCCGUGACCCCAAAUCCACCGCGGGCCCCUCAGUCCCACCCCGGGACCCCCAAAAUCCACACCCGCGCCCCUCCUGUCCCGGCAGAGCUUCCCCUUGGCCCCCGCGCCGACGCCGCCGUGCCCGUGAGGGGUCCCGGGAGUCCCGGUGAGGACACGGAGCCGGGAGCGCGUCCUGGUGUCCCCACGGAUCGAGGCUGGCCCUGGAUCCGGUCACCGGGAGCCCUCCGGGAGGAACCCCUCGCCCCCUCCGGUGCUGCCGGGGCUCCCCCGGACUCUCGGCUGCCAAUAAAGGUGUUCGUCUCCAGCGCUGCCGCAUUCCCGGUGUCCCAUUCCCAUUCCCGUUCCCAUUCCCGUUCCCGGUGUCCCGUUCCCAUUCCCGUUCCCGGUGUCCCGUUCCCGUUCCCCGUUCCCGGUGCCCGUUCCCGUUCCCGGUGCCCGUUCCCGUUGCCCUCCCAUCCGCCAGGGGGCGCCACCGCCCCCUCGCGCCGCCGGGAUUUGGGGGCGUGUCCAUCCCGGGGUGGGCGUGUCCACCGCGGGG